RNAcentral lists this unclassified non-coding RNA (209 nucleotides) under plant metagenome. RNAcentral describes it as "partial contains small subunit ribosomal RNA, internal transcribed spacer 1, and 5.8S ribosomal RNA". The record is from RNAcentral.
UCUCCGUUGGUGAACCAGCGGAGGGAUCAUUACUGGAAUCGCAAGAUCCCACAACCCUGUGAACCUACCGAAACGUUGCCUCGGCGGGUGCCCGGCCCCUGCGCCGGGCGCUGCGCCCGCCGGCGGCCCCCUACUCUGUCUCUGCAGCGUGGCAUCUCAGAGUCCCAGAAAACAAGUCAAAACUUUCAACAACGGAUCUCUUGGCUCUA